This 405-nucleotide ribosomal RNA is filed under the name uncultured bacterium. Its description in RNAcentral is "partial 16S ribosomal RNA". It matches the Rfam family "Bacterial small subunit ribosomal RNA", at positions 29 to 525 of the family's 1533-position model. The record is from RNAcentral.
AUUGAACGCUGGCGGCAGGCCUAACACAUGCAAGUCGAACGAGUGGCGGACGGGUGAGUAAUGUCUGGGAAACUGCCUGAUGGAGGGGGAUAACUACUGGAAACGGUAGCUAAUACCGCAUACCAUCGGAUGUGCCCAGAUGGGCUUAGCUAGUAGGUGGGGUAAAGGCUCACCUAGGCGACGAUCCCUAGCUGGUCUGAGAGGAUGACCGGCGACAGGGGAAAUGAGAAAUGAUCAAGAGCCCUAAGUGAGACGGCAGGGGGGAGUGUGGGACAGUGGGCGCAAGGCUGAAGCAGCAAUGCGGGGUGUAUGAUGAAGGCUGUCGGGUUGUAAAGUACUUUCAGCGGGGAGGGGUUACCCGCAGAAGAGGCACCGGCUAACACCGUGCCAGCAGCGGCGGAAAUA